This 491-nucleotide ribosomal RNA is filed under the name uncultured bacterium. RNAcentral describes it as "partial 16S ribosomal RNA". It matches the Rfam family "Bacterial small subunit ribosomal RNA", at positions 28 to 507 of the family's 1533-position model. The record is from RNAcentral.
GAUGAACGCUGGCUACAGGCUUAACACAUGCAAGUCGAGGGGAAACGACGGGGAAGCUUGCUUCCCCGGGCGUCGACCGGCGCACGGGUGAGUAACGCGUAUCCAACCUGCCUCUGACUGAGGGAUAACCCGUCGAAAGUCGGCCUAAUAACUCAUGGUAUCGUCUGCGGGCAUCCAACGACGAUUAAAGAUUUCAUCGGUCAGGGAUGGGGAUGCGUCUGAUUAGCUUGUUGGCGGGGUAACGGCCCGCCAAGGCUACGAUCAGUAGGGGUUCUGAGAGGAAGGUCCCCCACAUUGGAACUGAGACACAGUCCAAACUCCUACGGGAGGCAGCAGUAAGGAAUAUUAGUCAAUGGGCGAGAGCCUGAACCAGCCAAGUAGCGUGCAGGAAGACGGCCCUAUGGGUUGUAAACUGCUUUUAUGCGGGGAUAAAGUGAGGGACGUGUCCCUCAUUGCAGGUACCGCAUGAAUAAGGACCGGCUAAUUCCGUG